RNAcentral lists this unclassified non-coding RNA (281 nucleotides) under uncultured fungus. RNAcentral's name for it is "partial contains 5.8S rRNA, ITS2 and 28S rRNA". It matches the Rfam family "Eukaryotic large subunit ribosomal RNA", at positions 668 to 961 of the family's 3401-position model. Lineage: Eukaryota; Fungi. The record is from RNAcentral.
AAGGAGACUAACAUAUAUGCGAGUGUGCGAGUGGAGAAACUCAUACGCGGAAUGAAAGUAAAAGGUGCGCAGCGCAGGCAACAGCAUCGACCGACCUAGUAAAAAAGGUUUGAGUGAGAGCAUAUCUGUUAGGACCCGAAAGAUGGUGAACUAUGCCUGAGUAGGGUGAAGUCAGGGGAAACCCUGAUGGAGGCUCGUAGCGUUGUUGACGUGCAAAUCACUCGUCAAACUUGGGUAUAGGGGCGAAAGACUAGUCGAACCAUCUAGUAGCUGGUUCCCUC